UGGAAUAGUAAUCCUGAAGAAGUUUUAAAACGGAUCAAAGAGUCAACUAGAUGGUCUGAUGUGCUGAAUGAUUAUGAGCUACAACGUGGUCUAGAGGGUCAUAUGAAAUUUUUAAGGAUGCAUGUGAGUAAAUUGGACAUAACUUCCACAAGCAGCAGCAUGACUGAGUUUGAUAAGGUAGCUUUGGAGGAGGACAUCAACUCUCGUAUGAGUUCAGAAUUAGAGAAGCAUCUACAAUUCCCUGACCAGUUGCUCAUGCGAGAAUAUUUCAAUCGUGUGAAAAUAAGGAACCUUGCCAGGGAGUGUUGUAUUCAAGCAAAAAAGACUGGAGUCAUUCUUGUCGAAGAGUUUCUACCCGUACGAAAUUUGGAAGAACAGAUGUUACCCAAAAGUUGGCCCCAGAAUUUUGGACAACAGCUGUUACCCAGAAAUUUGCCCCAGAUGAAAAAGAGAGUUAAGCAGUCACUUGACUCAACCAGGGCUUACCUGCAUCGACAGGGCGCUACUCGUGCUAGCGGUUUGAAGUAUGUGGUUGGUGCAGUUUCUCUUGCUUGUAUCAUCAUGGCUGGCCAACGCGAGAGUAAGUAAGACUGUCAACUGCAUCCAUGGUUGGCCUUUGCCCCCCAAAAAAAAAGGUUGGCCUUUGGAUAGACAGUAAUUUGUGUAUAAAUAAUGUUGUACUCGUGUUUGAAGCAUGUUUGUCUUACUAUGCAUUACAGAUGAUAUUUAACAUGUGGUAUUUGUUCAUCUGUUGAGCCGUUUGCUUCAGGAUAAGUUCCAUUGACCUCUAUCUUGAUGGUGUCAGCGCGAAUGGGCGGAGCCCCGACCAUAGUUGAAAUAGGUGUCCGUCUCUAGCUCCUGAACCAGUCUCAUUGAUGCCCAACGUGAUGGAGCCGGACCGGAGACACCUGUAUUUUUAUUUUGUCAAAAAACUGAGUCUAUUAUCCAGAAGGCUAAGCUCAGGCCCUUCUCUAGCAUGGUUAGGAAAUAAACCUUUUUUUUUUGUUUUUUAGUAAACAGAUUUGGU
RNAcentral lists this ribosomal RNA (1027 nucleotides) under Triticum aestivum (bread wheat). RNAcentral describes it as "partial small subunit ribosomal RNA". Lineage: Eukaryota; Viridiplantae; Streptophyta; Magnoliopsida; Poales; Poaceae. The record is from RNAcentral.